GACGAACGCUGGCGGCGUGCCUAACACAUGCAAGUCGUACGGUAAGGCCAUUUCGGGGGUACACGAGUGGGGGACGGGGGCGUAAGACGUGAGUAAACUGCCUACAACAUUGGGAUAACGCUAGGAAAGUGGUGAUAAUUACGGCUAUGUGCUCCUGCUGCAUGGUGGGGGUUGGAGGGCUCCGGCGGUUUUGGAUGGAGUCGCGGCCUAUCUGCUUGUUGGUGGGGUGGUGGCGUACCGCGCCGACGGCGGGGAGCCGGCCCCGGAGGGUGACCGGCCACAGUGACACUGAGAGGCGGCCCCGGCUCCGACGGCUGGCGGAGGUGGGGAAUAUUGCUCAAGGGGCACAAGCCGGAUGCAGCAGCGCCGCGGGCGGGAGGACGGCCUUGGUGUUGGAAACCGCUAUCAGCAGUGACGAAGCAUAUUGUGACGGUACCCAAAGAAGAAGCACCGGCUAACUACGUG
RNAcentral lists this ribosomal RNA (465 nucleotides) under uncultured bacterium. Its description in RNAcentral is "partial 16S ribosomal RNA". It matches the Rfam family "Bacterial small subunit ribosomal RNA", at positions 28 to 507 of the family's 1533-position model. The record is from RNAcentral.